ACUGACAAACAGGAACUCGACACUUCAGUGAAACAGUAGACCGUUAACAAAGUAGGCUAUCAAAAACCGUUAACUACACCGUUUUUACUGCGUAUAAUGACGUCAAACUUGGCAAAUUACAUAAUGUUGCUAAAAGUUUGUGUAAUGUAUUGUUUUGUUUUAUUGUUAGUAAAAUAACGGACAUGCCAAACAGGUUGUCAGUAUUCCACAGUGAAUAUAAUUAAACGUCUUCGAUAACACGUAAUCCUAAAGUUUUGCAAACAUUCAAAAAGAAAUUUACCUUUCAAACAUCGCUGGAGCUCUCUGAAAUCCUUCAUUCUGGGGAUUAUCCCGCUGUCGUCGCGAAUCUUUCAAUAUCCCUCCCUUCUCUCCAUUCUCCCGUUCGCCCGUUCACCAGCAAAGUUUGUCUGCUCCUGAAACAUUUUUCAUCAUUUCCGGAUUCCGAAAAGACUCGCACAACCACUACCAGCUGCAGCUGAACGAUGCCUUCAGGGUCCUGCUGGCUGCCAUCGAAAAGAACCGUGCGGGAUGUUCCUUCACAAAAGCGACACACUCCCACCGCACAAAAUGAUCUGAUAUGGAGACUUUUUUUUUCUACUGUCAAGUUCAAACAGCUGGCAGAAGACAGCUAGACUUUAUAGCAUGAUUACCAGGAUUACUCUGCGAGCUGUAUAAAACAUGACAAAAUAACCCAGCAUUUCAAAGACGUAGCUAUCAGAACUCGUUGAUGCGUUAUUUCUCCAAAGCUCCGAAAAGUCUAUUUUUACAGUAGGCUACAGUCCGUUCAUUCGAGAAAAAAAAGCUUGAUCUGCGUUAAAUUUGUACCUGAAAUUUACUCGCAUACCCUACAUGCCAACGACGGUGUGUGUUUUCACUUUAAAGGGGGGUCAGUAAGGAUGUAGGCUUAACAAAUUGUGUUGCACGAUUUAUAUAUCACAGUUUUUCCUUUAUUUUUAAUUUUUUUUAAAGUUAUUAUUUUACCUAUGUAUUACUGUUUUUUAUGACUGAAAUAAAAGGUGAAAAAAGAA
Molecule: long non-coding RNA, 1028 nt
Organism: Anguilla rostrata (American eel)
Lineage: Eukaryota; Metazoa; Chordata; Actinopteri; Anguilliformes; Anguillidae
Exons: 2
Source: RefSeq, a predicted model, not a curated record